UUUCGAAAUACAGUAGCAUAAGGAGCAGGGUAUUGACUUCCAGGAGUCCCCAGAUCCUUGAAGGCCUUAAAAAAAAGCCAAAAUACACACGGGGAAAUCAUGCAACCCAUUGCAGUGCCAAUUAGUUGGCUCACAAACAUUGACCGUGGUGAAGAAAGGGUCAAAUAACCAGUCUUGAAAUCUUGAGAUAGGUCAGAGGCUGUGGAGACAAUAUUCAUCAUGACUCCACAGGCCGCUAGUCCUGCAAGAACUCCACCAUGAGAGGCACCAGCCCAUGCCCCAAUUACAAAAAUUGCAAGCGUCCCAUAGGUAGAAGCAAGGGACCAAUCAGUGAGUCCACAACCAUAAGCAUUACAGAAUGCAAGGGCUGGAGCAAAGAUGUAGAUAACCAAUAUGUAAUACCAUUUUAGUUCAGGAAAUAUAUGCGGAACGGUGGUUGUAGAAAUGGAAGCAAUUGUGACAUAACCUGCAACAGCAAACCAUGUUGGAAUUUGAUCUUUGAGAAAGAGGUGGGUGCGACGUUGCUCAUCAUAGGAGAUCCUGGAUGUCUCGGGAGAGGAACGGUCAGCAACAGGCAGAGCACCAGUUGCAUCUCUCCCACGAAGUUGAAAAAACAAUGCAGCGAGUGUUCGGCUUAGAACCUUGAAGAAGUUGUACAGACCGUCACCCAAGAUCAAGGCAGUGGCAAUAAAUACCUGUGUUCAAUGCAUAAGCGUUGGUAUGAAAGAAAAGGCUUCAAGAAAAUGUUAAAAAUCAUGUAAUGGGCAUUCUUGUCACCUUAACCUUGUUAGAAAACUUACCUUGUAACCUUGGAGGCCAUGUAAGCUGCCUGGUUUGAGGUCUGCUGGAUACCAGUCACCCUUUUUUGUAUCUAUGAGAGGCCACAUCAGACCCCAGGAAAGAAUUCCUCCAAGCAAUACUGAUAUGUUUAUGAUAUAUGGGCAAAUCAUUCCAACUCCAACAUAUGUUGCUGAGAAAUCAAAGAAAAAUCUGUACAUGUAACAAGAACAUUAUUAGUCAAAGAUACCCCAACGAAUUUGAAACAGAAUGCCAUAACAAAUGGAACUACAUUCAACAAGAAGAGAGGAUUUUGGAAGAUUGAGUAAUGUUUUUACUUGUUUUCAUGUGCUUUAAGACCAAGUGAGGGGAACUCAGCGAAUCCACAACCAUCUCCUGCAGUGUAGAACCAUUGAAAGAAACCCCACAAGAAGCUGAAUGAGAAGAACUUGCCCAACACUCUCACUUGUUUCCUGUAACAGUAGAAUAACAAAGUUCGAUACCCUUACAUGUCAAAUGAUCAUCCAUAUAAAUGCAUGAGGUCUGAUAAUGCCUUACUUUGCUAGCUUGGCUCCUGCAGGAGUGUGGAAGCUGUUGAUGAGAUGCGCAGUUGCAGUGCCACUUGGAUAUGUCAAUUUGAAGUCUAUAAUCAUGACCUGGAAAUAACCAGGGUAAGAAUGAGGAUUAGAUUUUGGCAAAAUCAAUACACUAGGCAAAAAUGUAAAAUGCAGAGAAAAGUUUUAUAUUUCCUAUAAUCAUAUAAAGAAAUUGAAUGCUGAUGCAGGUUGUAAAGUCUACCUUUCGAAGAGGCACCACCGAAAAGAGUCCAAGAAAGCUAACAACAAACAAAAAGCCAAUCAUCCAAGACAGAGAUGGAUUUUUAAAGGCAUCACUAUCUUCAGUUAAUUGUUUGGCCACGGUUUCACUCAUUCCAAACAGAUAACUCCCAAAGCCUCCUAUUAUAAGGAAACAAGGAAAAAAUUAUAGAAUGGAAACCAUUAGUACAAAAAUCAACAAGUUUAAUAGUAUCAUAAGCAUAAUCACAAAUUAGCCGUUUCAUUACAAUAAUUAAUUCAGUUUCGAAACAAGUUUGGCAAGUAUUCAGGCUUUUCUUGACUAUUUGGAUAAGUUAGAAAUAUAAUGUAUUCAUCUUGACAUUAUGUUAAUGAUUCACAGUUAAAGAAAAGGUUUGAUUAAUAACUCAAGCUCACAACUAGCAUUCUAGAAACAGAUAUUAUUCACAUUUUCCUUUCUUUUACUGAUGGAGAAGACUUCUUUUUCCACAAAUCAGAAUAUUGUUAUAAGACUUCCUGAUAUAAAUCUGAACUUAGCAAGUCAUCCAUAUCCAGAGCAUAUGAAUUGAAUUGUCAAAAAAGUAUCUGUCAAGUGACAUACCAGCUGCACCCCUAACAUUAUCACACUCCAGGAGACAGAGAUAGAUGUGUUCAUGUCUCUAAUGGUAAGUUCAAGUGUUGAUUAGUUUAGUAAAACUUCACAAGUGGUAGUCAUAAAGCCUCAAUUUUGAUUUGUCUCUCAAAGACUUUAGGCAGUAAGAGAUUCUUUGUCUUCAAGGAUCAUGCAAAUCUACUCACAUCUGAGAUAAAAGGGAUCCAGAGAGAGAAAAAUGGUUGCCUUAUCAUGUAAUCUAGCAAUUAGAAGAUGGAAAUCUUGACAUUGAAUUUUAGUAACUACUGUAAGUUUGCAACCUUUAAGAACAGAAACAAAACCAAAUGCACAGAAAUAUUAAUAUCUUGAUCAAAGAAACCUAGAUAUCUCCUAAAAUUCGAAAGAAAAGAGAAAGAAAAUUGAAUUUCAAAAUAAUUAAGAGAGAUGAAAUGAAAAUUAAUGGAAGUAAACAGUACAGAAAGUAUACCACUAAAGGCAAUGCCAGAGGAGGCAACCACGCAAGUCUGUAUUACAGUGUUCUCUUGCCUCGUAAAGGGUUGCUUGAAAAGUCCAGACUUUUCAAGAAACUUUGUCCAGGUCUUGAUAAAAAAGAAGCCCAGAAGGCCAGCAGAGACAUUGAGGGAAGGUAUGAUACCAGUUGUAAGAUUGAGCUUCAUUACUAUGACGCAGAACAAAAUGCUCAACACGAAGCUCACCACAAGGGCCCUCAGUGUCAGCUGAUUCCUCCAUGAUGGCACAUCUUGGUUCUCAAAUAUUCUUUCCACUGACAACUCUUCUUCUUGUUCCUCUUUCUUGUCCUUCUUUCUGUGAUCAUGAUCAUCCUCCAAAUCAUGAUCAUUCUCUACCUUGGCGUCGUCUCUUUCAUUACGUUCCAUUUUAUUUUCUUAAAAGAAUGAUUCUUUAUGGAGACGAAGAGAGUUGGGAGUGUGUUUAAUAAGUGGUUGUGAUUAUUGCUCAACGCAUCACAAGCGAAUUGAAGACGAUGAAUAUGAGGAGUUAAAAGUUAAAACGGGUUGUUGUAGUGAGUUUAACCUGUCUGUUUUUUUAGGUUAUUUUUUUUAAUUUUAAAUUAAUUUUUUUUUAAUUUUUUGAAUUAUUUUAAUAUAUUAAUAUUAAAAAUAAAUUUUAAAAUAUAAAAAAUAUAUUAUUUUAAUAUUUUUUAUCGAAAAUUAUUUUAAAAAAUAAUUAUUAUUAUAUUUUUAAACACUCUUUAAAAUAACAAAAUGACUCUAAAUGAAAUGUGUUUUAGUUAAGUUUGUAAUUUUUAUAUAUGUAAUCUGUAGGUACUUUUAAAGAAUUAGACUAGAAAUAUAAUAGAAAUUAUUUUUAAAAUAAUCUAAAAAUAUGUUUUUAAUAUUUUUUUGAAUUAAAAUUAAUAAUUAUUUUCAAAACAAUUUGAAAAUAAAAAAAAUUAAUUUUAAAAAGGAAUGUUUUAAGCAAGUUACCAAAUGGCCACUGAAUCCAAUGCCAAAAGCUUCUAUUUCUAAUUUGUGGAAGACGAGAAGUCAAUAGUCAAUUUCCAAAAAAUUAAAAAAAAAAUAAAGGGAAAAUAAAAGAUCUGUGAAUGUCCAUUGUCCAAAGUUUGUGGGAAAAAAAUGAUAUAAGAAAUAAAGAAAAUGAUAUUAAAUUACUUAAAGAAGCUAGACUAGAAUAUAGUUGAAUUUAAAACAAUUUAAAAACACUAUUUUAAUAGUUUUUAAAUUAAAAAUAAUUUAAAAAAUAAUUAUUACUAAACUCCCAAAAACCUUUAAAACAACAAAGUAACCUUUCACAUGUGUUUGAGUUAAUUAAUUUUAAAUAAAAUAAAACAAACUUUUAAAAAGGAAUGUUUUAAGCAAGUUACCAAAUUGCCACUGAAUCCAAUGCCAAAAGCUUCUCUUUCUAAUGUAGAAGGCGAGAAGUCAAUAGUCAAUUUCCAAAAAAUUAAAACAAAAUAAAAGGAAAAUAAAAAAUCUAUGUAGGUCUAUUGUCCAAAGAUUGUGGGAAAAUAAAAAAUCUAUGUAACGUGCGUGGAAGAUUUAAAGAAUGUCCAAUUAAUUAUUGUAUAAACGUUGGUUUUUUCCUUCUCAACGUAAUUAAUUAGAGAUGAUUUUUCUAAUUACUUGUUUACUAAAUUCAUAGCACAAAUCAUGCAAUCUUGCAGAGAAAUUUGUUAAGUAAAAAUAAGAUAAGCAAAUAAAAAAAAUACGAGUUUACAAUAAAUAAUAUAACGUUAUUUAAUUUAAACUUAUCUCUAAAAAAACAAUGCAGGACCUUACAAAGCAUGAGAUUGAAGAUGAGUUAUAAACAAAUCAUAACCACAGCAAGAUGGAGAGUUGAGGGAUUCUAUGAUAAUUAACUUUGAAUAUAUUUGCAUGGGGAAGAACGUAUGAUCCAAAUGAUAACCUCUUUAUGUAGUUCGCUCCCUCUGGGCUUAGAUGCCAUUAAGACUACGGAAAUGCUUUGUCUAUUUUUCAGCUUCUUUUCAUGUUCUUAGGACAAACCUUCAACAUAUUUGUUACAAGUCUCAUAUUCGCUGAAGCUUUUAUCGUCUUCCUCGACGCAUCUGAUAUUUUUUCCAUCUUUUUUCUUUUCUCGUGUUGGAUAACUAAGUCUGGCAUGGUUUUAUUGUGAGACUGAUAAUAACUAGAAGGCCAUUCCAAUGCCACAUUGGACCACCUGAUAUGAUCAUAGCUAGCAAAAUGAGCAAACCUGAUACCAAAUAUAGCAACUGAUCAUAAGAGCUCACAAAGGGUACUGUCAUUUUCACUUUUCACAUUGCUUGAUGCAUCUGUUCUACUAUCUUCUUCAAACUAGACAAGAAAAAAACUACAAGCACAUAUAAGUAAGGGGACAUUUGAUUUUCUUCUCCAGAAAUGAUUACAGAGAAAAUAGUUGUAGCCUUGUUGGCUCCACGGAAUAGCAGGUGAUUAUCCACAGCAUUUUUGAGUCGAACUUCACAUGUAAACUUCAUAACCUUAGUGUAGGAAGCAAUUCAGCUUUACUUCACAGUUUCUAUUCAAGUUGAUCUGAACUUCAACUUUAUGACCCUAAGAACGCAUCGACCUUGGCAUUUGUUCCCCUUGACAAAAACUUCAUGCAAAUGGGAGGUUUUACUCCUACUAGAGCAAGUAUCGCACUAGGCAAAGUCCAUAUCCCAUCCCCGCAAAUCAAACCAGAAGCCACUGCUGGCCCAAAAGCAUCUGCCUUUGCCUUGUCAAUCUUUUCCCAGAUAAAUAGAAUCAAGCUUCCCACACACAUGUCGAUGGCAAAGUAUGGGCCAAUAUAGAACGGUAUAGCCAUCGCCAUUGGAUUGGGAAUGAACCUGGCCCAUUUCUUACCCAAAGCAUCCUUAAUUAAAUUUAUCAGAAUAGCUGCACCGAAGAACCCAUAACAAAGAUAGAGGCAAUUCUUUGGUAGAGACGAGAAUCCGUCUACCCCCAAUAUAGCCAUGUUUCGAUAUACAGUAGCAUAAGGAGCAGGGUAUUGACUUCCAGGAGUCCCCAGAUCCUUGAAGGCCUUGAAAAACAGCCAAAAGACACAAGGUGAAAUAAUGCAACCCAUUGCAGUGCCAAUUAGUUGGCUCACAAACAUGGACCGAGGUGAAGAAAGGGUCAAAUAACCAGUCUUGAAAUCUUGAGAUAGGUCAGAGGCUGUGGAGACAAUAUUCAUCAUGACUCCACAGGCCGCUAGUCCUGCAAGAACUCCACCAUGAGAGGCACCAGCCCAUGCCCCAAUUACAAAAAUUGCAAGCUUCCCAUAG
RNAcentral lists this long non-coding RNA (5926 nucleotides) under Populus trichocarpa (black cottonwood). RNAcentral's name for it is "long non-coding RNA (PTRI_LNC003929)". Lineage: Eukaryota; Viridiplantae; Streptophyta; Magnoliopsida; Malpighiales; Salicaceae. The record is from RNAcentral.